ACAUUGGUGGGUCAGUGGUAGAAUUCUCGCCUGCCACGCGGGAGACCCGGGUCCGAUUCCCGGCCAAUGAA
RNAcentral lists this transfer RNA (71 nucleotides) under Danio rerio (zebrafish). It matches the Rfam family "tRNA". Rfam says of the family: Transfer RNA (tRNA) molecules are approximately 80 nucleotides in length. The record is from Rfam by way of RNAcentral. Lineage: Eukaryota; Metazoa; Chordata; Actinopteri; Cypriniformes; Danionidae.